AGUAUAAUAAGAUCAAGUCUGCACUCUACUUAGUAACUGUUUUAAUGUUUUUAAUAAAUAUAACUGAAUACACUCUGACAUAGAGGGACACACUUUGACUGUUUAAAGUUACAGUACUAGGACAAGCAAAACAAAGACAAGCUCGAGGUUUUCAACCACCGAUGCAAUUAGCAAACAUGUUGAAAUAGAGAUAAUGGUAACUGCAGAUGCUGGAGAAUCCGAGAUAACAAAGUGUGGAGCUGGAUGAACACAGCAGGCGAAGUAGCAUCUUAGGACUAAGAAAGCUGACGUUUUGGGCCUAGACCCUUCAAACUAUGGUACAAAACCGGAAAUAACACUGCCCACCUUAACAGCCGGACUGUAUAAAUUCAGAGCGGACAGAACAACCGCACAUCUGUGGAGACUAUACAGCACUGAUGAUGUCAUUAAGAAGGGAGAUGAAACGUUAACAUGAAAACCAGUCAGCUUGGCGAACCAACCAAAAACUCCAACAUAAUUACAUCAGGACGUGAAACUGAAGACGGAAUUUUAAUUGUUCACCUAUCAGCUAACAAGGUGGCUGACUCGUGGAAGAGUGGCAGUGAAAAAUGUAUUACCAGAAUUGGACAAAAAACAAAGUCAUCAUUCACUGAACAUACUUUCGUUAGAGCCCUUCCUUAAAGGCAAAGUUCCCAUAAACCAGGUCAGGAAGACACCUGUUCCAGCUGAGAAGUGACAAAGAUCAGUGCAUGCUGAGAAUGAAGCCACACUGUUGGCUGAGUGAACUUGCUUACCUGAUGGGGAGAAACUGGUGAGAUGCAUGAAUUGAUGUACAUGUAUACAGAUGAAUAUUUGGCAACCUGAAAACAUCAGCUUUCUGUCUGCGGUUAAAGCAAAACAUCACACCGAUGCACAUCUCAAACAAGUUAAUGGAGCUUUGAGCGUAAGGACUCCAAACUAAGAAUACCUAGGAUAUUAGGAACAAAACAGAAG
Stegostoma tigrinum is the source of this 972-nucleotide long non-coding RNA. RefSeq lists it as uncharacterized. The transcript has 3 exons. The record is from RefSeq and is a predicted model, not a curated record. Lineage: Eukaryota; Metazoa; Chordata; Chondrichthyes; Orectolobiformes; Stegostomatidae.